AACGAACGCUGGCGGCAUGCCUAACACAUGCAAGUCGAACGAGACCUUCGGGUCUAGUGGCGCACGGGUGCGUAACGCGUGGGAACCUGCCCUUAGGUUCGGAAUAACUCAGAGAAAUUUGAGCUAAUACCGGAUAAUGUCUUCGGACCAAAGAUUUAUCGCCUUUGGAUGGGCCCGCGUAGGAUUAGCUUGUUGGUGGGGUAAUGGCCUACCAAGGCGACGAUCCUUAGCUGGUCUGAGAGGAUGAUCAGCCACACUGGGACUGAGGCACGGCCCAGACUCCUACGGGAGGCAGCAGUGGGGAAUAUUGGACAAUGGGCGAAAGCCUGAUCCAGCAAUGCCGCGUGAGUGAUGAAGGCCUUAGGGUUGUAAAGCUCUUUUACCAGGGAUGAUAAUGACAGUACCUGGAGAAUAAGCUCCGGCUAACUCCGUG
RNAcentral lists this ribosomal RNA (433 nucleotides) under uncultured bacterium. RNAcentral describes it as "partial 16S ribosomal RNA". It matches the Rfam family "Bacterial small subunit ribosomal RNA", at positions 29 to 507 of the family's 1533-position model. The record is from RNAcentral.